UACAGAGGGUGCAAGCGUUGUUCGGAAUUAUUGGGCGUAAAAAGCUCGUAGGCGGUCUGUCGCGUCGGCUGUGAAAACUCGGGGCUCAACUCCGAGCUUGCAGUCGAUACGGGCAGGCUAGAGUUCGGCAGGGGAGACUGGAAUUCCUGGUGUAGCGGUGAAAUGCGCAGAUAUCAGGAGGAACACCGGUGGCGAAGGCGGGUCUCUGGGCCGAUACUGACGCUGAGGAGCGAAAGCGUGGGGAGCGAACAGG
Molecule: ribosomal RNA, 253 nt
Filed under: uncultured bacterium
Lineage: Bacteria
Description: partial 16S ribosomal RNA
Rfam family: Bacterial small subunit ribosomal RNA
Source: RNAcentral